ACGCGUAUUCUUGGGUUAUUAAC
Molecule: microRNA, 23 nt
Filed under: Aedes aegypti (yellow fever mosquito)
Lineage: Eukaryota; Metazoa; Arthropoda; Insecta; Diptera; Culicidae
Description: Aae-Mir-137-P12_5p* (star (passenger))
Source: RNAcentral